RNAcentral lists this ribosomal RNA (449 nucleotides) under uncultured bacterium. RNAcentral describes it as "bacterial SSU rRNA". It matches the Rfam family "Bacterial small subunit ribosomal RNA", at positions 329 to 793 of the family's 1533-position model. The record is from RNAcentral.
UACCAGACUCCUACGGGAGGCAGCAGUGGGGAAUAUUGCACAAUGGGGGAAACCCUGAUGCAGCGACGCCGCGUGAGUGAAGAAGUAUUUCGGUAUGUAAAGCUCUCUCAGCAGGGAAGAAAAUGACGGUACCUGACUAAGAAGCCCCGGCUAACUACGUGCCAGCAGCCGCGGUAAUACGUAGGGGGCAAGCGUUAUCCGGAUUUACUGGGUGUAAAGGGAGCGUAGACGGCAUGGCAAGUCAGAUGUGAAAGCCCGGGGCUCAACCCCGGGACUGCAUUUGAAACUGUCAGGCUGGAGUGCAGGAGAGGUAAGUGGAAUUCCUAGUGUAGCGGUGAAAUGCGUAGAUAUUAGGAGGAACACCAGUGGCGAAGGCGGCCUGCUGGACGACAACUGACGGUGAGGCGCGAAAGCGUGGGUAUCGAACAGGAUUAGAUACCCCGGUAAAG